UACGUAGGGUGCAAGCGUUGUCCGGAAUUAUUGGGCGUAAAGAGCUCGUAGGCGGUCUGUCGCGUCGGCUGUGAAAACCCGAGGCUCAACCUCGGGCCUGCAGUCGAUACGGGCGGACUAGAGUUCGGUAGGGGAGACUGGAAUUCCUGGUGUAGCGGUGAAAUGCGCAGAUAUCAGGAGGAACACCGGUGGCGAAGGCGGGUCUCUGGGCCGAAACUGACGCUGAGGAGCGAAAGCGUGGGGAGCAAACAGG
This 253-nucleotide ribosomal RNA is filed under the name uncultured bacterium. Its description in RNAcentral is "partial 16S ribosomal RNA". It matches the Rfam family "Bacterial small subunit ribosomal RNA", at positions 524 to 776 of the family's 1533-position model. The record is from RNAcentral.